GUGCUUGCUUCAGGGACACCCAUACUAAAAUUGGAAUGAUACAGCAAAGCUUAGUAUGGCACCUGUACAAGGGUGACAUUUCAGUUCAUAUUUAGUAGCCAAACUUCU
Small nuclear RNA from Anolis sagrei ordinatus, 108 nucleotides. The record is from RefSeq and is a predicted model, not a curated record. NCBI's taxonomy places the organism in Eukaryota, Metazoa, Chordata, Lepidosauria, Squamata, Anolidae.